Molecule: ribosomal RNA, 465 nt
Filed under: uncultured bacterium
Lineage: Bacteria
Description: partial 16S ribosomal RNA
Rfam family: Bacterial small subunit ribosomal RNA
Source: RNAcentral
CCUACGUGAGGCAGCAGUAGGGAAUCUUCCACAAUGGACGAAAGUCUGAUGGAGCAACGCCGCGUGAGUGAAGAAGGGUUUCGGCUCGUAAAGCUCUGUUGGUAGGGAAGAAAGAUAGAGGUAGUAACUGGCCUUUAUUUGACGGUAAUUACUUAGAAAGUCACGGCUAACUACGUGCCAGGAGCCGCGGUAAUACGUAGGUGGCAAGAGUUGUCCGGAUUGAUUGGGCGUAAAGCGAGUGCAGGCGGUUCAAUAAGUCUGAUGUGAAAGCCUUCGGCUCAACCGGAGAAUUGCAUCAGAAACUGUUGAACUUGAGUGCAGAAGAGGAGAGUGGAACUCCAUGUGUAGCGGUGGAAUGCGUAGAUAUAUGGAAGAACACCAGUGGCGAAGGCGGCGCUCUGGUCUGCAACUGACGCUGAGGCUCGAAAGCAUGGGUAGCGAACAGGAUUAGAUACCCUUGUAGUC